GCGAAAAGUGGGUGCAGCAAUGCACCUCUGCCUACCCCGCAAGGGAGUACAUUAGUACAGUCAGGUGCAGAUAAACCUGACCCCCUGCAUUUCAAAUAGAAAUUCUAACUACGCAAAGCCAAUUUGUCGGUGUGACGUAUGUUGCGGUAGUGCUCGUGUCUAUAGACAGAUAUAGAACUAUUUUACUAUUCUCCUAUUCAUAUCCAUCAUUUAGAUAAUAUCCAUCAUUUACACAAACUAACGAAUUCAUAGAA
Molecule: non-coding RNA, 254 nt
Organism: Plutella xylostella (diamondback moth)
Lineage: Eukaryota; Metazoa; Arthropoda; Insecta; Lepidoptera; Plutellidae
Source: RefSeq, a predicted model, not a curated record